This 301-nucleotide ribosomal RNA is filed under the name uncultured bacterium. RNAcentral describes it as "partial 16S ribosomal RNA". It matches the Rfam family "Bacterial small subunit ribosomal RNA", at positions 509 to 807 of the family's 1533-position model. The record is from RNAcentral.
CAGUAGCCACGGGAAUACGAAGGGGGCUAGCGUUGCUCGGAAUGACUGGGCGUAAAGGGCGCGUAGGCGGCGGCCAAAGUCAGGCGUGAAAUUCCCGGGCUCAACCUGGGGGCUGCGUUUGAUACUUGGUUGCUUGAGUGGGGAAGAGGGUCGUGGAAUUCCCAGUGUAGAGGUGAAAUUCGUAGAUAUUGGGAAGAACACCGGCGGCGAAGGCGGCGACCUGGUCCUUUACUGACGCUGAGGCGCGAAAGCGUGGGGAGCAAACAGGAUUAGAUACCCCAGUAGUCCCUGUCUCUUAUAC